Molecule: ribosomal RNA, 388 nt
Filed under: uncultured bacterium
Lineage: Bacteria
Description: bacterial SSU rRNA
Rfam family: Bacterial small subunit ribosomal RNA
Source: RNAcentral
AACGAACGCUGGCGGCGCGCCUAAUACAUGCAAGUCGAGCGAGAAGACGUAGCAAUACGUUUGUAAAGCGGCGAACGGGUGAGGAAUACAUGGGUAACCUACCCUCGAGUGGGGAAUAACUAGCCGAAAGGUUAGCUAAUACCGCGUACGCUCCUUGGACUUCGGUUCAGGGAGGAAAGCGAUACCGUAGGUAUCGCGCUCUUGGAUGGGCUCAUGUCCUAUCAGCUUGUUGGUGAGGAACGGCUCACCAAGGCUUCGACGGGUAGCUGGUCUGAGAGGACGAUCAGCCACACUGGCACUGCGACACGGGCCAGACUCCUACGGGAGGCAGCAGUAAGGAAUAUUGCGCAAUGGGCGAAAGCCUGACGCAGCGACGCCGCGUGGGGGA